Molecule: ribosomal RNA, 492 nt
Filed under: uncultured bacterium
Lineage: Bacteria
Description: partial 16S ribosomal RNA
Rfam family: Bacterial small subunit ribosomal RNA
Source: RNAcentral
AGUGAACGCUGGCGGUAGGCCUAACACAUGCAAGUCGAACGGCAGCACAGUAAGAGCUUGCUCUUACGGGUGGCGAGUGGCGGACGGGUGAGGAAUACAUCGGAAUCUACUUUUUCGUGGGGGAUAACGUAGGGAAACUUACGCUAAUACCGCAUACGACCUACGGGUGAAAGCAGGGGAUCUUCGGACCUUGCGCGAUUGAAUGAGCCGAUGUCGGAUUAGCUAGUUGGCGGGGUAAAGGCCCACCAAGGCGACGAUCCGUAGCGGGUCUGAGAGGAUGAUCAGCCACACUGGAACUGAGACACGGUCCAGACUCCUACGGGAGGCAGCAGUGGGGAAUAUUGGACAAUGGGCGCAAGCCUGAUCCAGCCAUACCGCGUGGGUGAAGAAGGCCUUCGGGUUGUAAAGCCAUUUUGUUGGGAAAGAAAAGCAGCAGGUUAAUACCCCGCUGUUCUGACGGUACCCAAAGAAUAAGCACCGGCUAACUUCGUG